This 452-nucleotide ribosomal RNA is filed under the name uncultured bacterium. Its description in RNAcentral is "bacterial SSU rRNA". It matches the Rfam family "Bacterial small subunit ribosomal RNA", at positions 29 to 524 of the family's 1533-position model. The record is from RNAcentral.
AACGAACGCUGGCGGCAGGCUUAACACAUGCAAGUCGAACGCUCGUAGCAAUACGGGAGUGGCGGACGGGUGAGUAACGCGUGGGAACGUGCCCUGAGGUACGGAAUAACUGAGGGAAACUUCAGCUAAUACCGUAUGAGCCCCGAGAGGGGGAAAGAUUUAUCGCCUUGGGAGCGGCCCGCGUCGGAUUAGCUAGUUGGUGGGGUAACGGCCUACCAAGGCUUCGAUCCGUAGCUGGUCUGAGAGGACGAUCAGCCACACUGGGACUGAGACACGGCCCAGACUCCUACGGGAGGCAGCAGUGGGGAAUCUUGCGCAAUGGGGGCAACCCUGACGCAGCCAUGCCGCGUGAACGAUGAAGGCCUUAGGGUUGUAAAGUUCUUUUACCCGUGACAUGAUGACGGUAACGGGGAAUAAGCUCCGGCUAACUUCGUGCCAGCAGCCGCGGUAAU